UACAGAGGUCCCGAGCGUUGUUCGGAUUCAUUGGGCGUAAAGGGUGCGUAGGUGGCUCCGUAAGUGGGGUGUGAAAUCCCGGGGCUUAACCCCGGGACUGCAUUCCAUACUGCGGUGCUUGAGGACUGGAGAGGAGACUGGAGUUUACGGUGUAGCAGUGAAAUGCGUAGAGAUCGUAAGGAAGACCAGUGGCGAAGGCGGGUCUCUGGACAGUUCCUGACACUGAGGCACGAAGGCCAGGGGAGCAAACGGG
This 253-nucleotide ribosomal RNA is filed under the name uncultured bacterium. RNAcentral's name for it is "partial 16S ribosomal RNA". It matches the Rfam family "Bacterial small subunit ribosomal RNA", at positions 524 to 776 of the family's 1533-position model. The record is from RNAcentral.